UUCAUCCUGUUUAUCAGGAACCCACUCGUGAGCUAAUGGGCCCACUCCUGUGACAACAGCAUCAAUCCCUUCACAAGCCAUCAUGGCCUGAUCAACUCUUAAAGGCCCCACCUUUUAAUACAGUAACAAUGACAAUUAAGUUCCUGACACAUGAACUUCUGGAGGACACCUGAAACCAUAGCACCGUGGCUACCUCUGCUGGGCCUUCAAGGAUGCAGAUGAUGCGGAGUUGACUUUUUAAAGAGGGAAGGAGUUUGAGAUAGGAGAAGAGUGACAAGAGAUAGGGUGGGAGCGCUAGGCUGGAAUCAGGUCCUGAAGGGCUUUGUGUGCCUUGCUGAGGACUGUGGACUUGAUACGCCAGGCAAUAGGGCACCGGUGAAGAAUAUGGAGAUAGAGAGUUAAGUCAGAUUGGUAUUUCCAUAAGAAUUAAUCUUGCACCAGCGUGGAUGAUGAGUAGUAUGGGCUGAAACUAGAAGUCAGGGAAGCCAACUAGGAUGUUGUAGUGACUAGCCAAGCAAGAAUUAUGAGCACCACCUGCAGAAAGAAUGGAGAAGUGGGCAUAGUUUUGAGAACUAUUUGGAAGUUUCAGGAGUGAAGACCCUGUAAGAAAUUGACUAUUUUGGAGAGAAGGAGAACUCCAAAAUGUCUUUUCAGUUUUCAGCUUGACUCACUGGGUGGUGAUAUUGUUCAUGGAAAUAAAAAUGUAGGAGGAAGAGCCAUUUUGGAGAAAAGAAGGUGACAAAUGGUUGCUGCUUACAUACCCCUUUGCUACUACUGAAACAGGGAAUGACUUUUGUCCUCAUCAUCACAGAAUGACUACACAACCUCCAAGCACUGCACCUGUGAUCCAGGUGGGAAAACAU
Non-coding RNA from Microcebus murinus (gray mouse lemur), 863 nucleotides. The record is from RefSeq and is a predicted model, not a curated record. Lineage: Eukaryota; Metazoa; Chordata; Mammalia; Primates; Cheirogaleidae.